AUUGAAUUUGGUGAUGAUUUUCUGUACUUUUGAGGCACCCUCGUGUUUUCAAUGAAUAAAUGUUAGCAUAUAACGUGUAGUUUUUAGUAUAUAUUUGGUUUUACACCAGAAUGAAUUGCCAUCGAGUAUCUUGUGUCUUGUAUGAUGAUUUAUAUAUGUUUUUUUCUUAUAUUCUUGUCCAAGCAAGCAAGAGCAUAAGCAUGCUCAGAUUAUGUUUUG
RNAcentral lists this unclassified non-coding RNA (219 nucleotides) under Hevea brasiliensis (rubber tree). Lineage: Eukaryota; Viridiplantae; Streptophyta; Magnoliopsida; Malpighiales; Euphorbiaceae. The record is from RNAcentral.